UUGGUCAUGUGACCAAAGUUCAGGUGAGUUCUGGUCAGAGGUCAUGGCUCCGGUCAGAGCUCAGCAUGGCUCAGAACACAAAUGGUGGCGCUUCGGUGAGUGCACUCUUUAUUUACCGGUUGUGUUUGUAAAAGUCAGUAAUAGUUACCGGACACGUUGCACAUUAACAUAAUUUGUUGAACAAUGUCUACAGGGAACUUUUAAUGAGGUGGCAUUCGUUAAAAAUGUGUCAGCUAUUAGCCAGCGUUGUUAGCUAUUAGCUAACUUUAUAUUACCAUGGUUUACUGUUGGUAACAUUACUCACAGUUCUGUGGCAGCGAGUAUGAUCUGACUGACAAGAAAUGUCUGACUACAGUACAUUUAACAGCUGGUCAGUUAAGAGCUGCUUCACUUUACUCAAAACUGUUUUAAAAAUAGUAUAAAUGGAUAGCCGAUAAUAUAACUGUCACCAAACUCCUAUAAUGCGUAUUGAAGUCUAGUUAGUAACAUUUAACUGUUUAAAACUUGAUUUUUGUGCUGCUGGUUUGUAAUAUCCUUUGUCCUGUAUUUUUGAUGACAGGAUAGUCAGCCUGAUGAAAUUGUGCAGUCAGCCAGGCGCUUAUUGCAUUUAAUCAGUUUGUCUGAAAGACAACGGGGCGCAGCUAGUGGUGGAGUAACAAAUCAAGUUCUGAGGUUUAGUAUUAAGCUUUAGUUCAUGUACAUAUGGCUUAUUUUACUUAUACAUUGCAGAUGUAUUGAUGAUUAAUACAUAUUCGUGGAUACAAUCCUGCAGAGAACAGAGGCAUGCAGAGAGACCAUCACUUCAAAUGGAAAUGACCAGGUCCUUUCCAGGUGUUUUUACCAAGGCCAGAGGGAAGAGGUGCUUUCCUGCAGCAAAUCUUGUUCCUGCCAAGAGACUUAAACCACUUGAUGUGGCUUUCUAUUUGUUGCCAAAGCAGUGUGAAAAAACUCCAAAAGAGCAGGAGCAUAUAGUCCAUAUGCAUGCAGGAUUGGGCCGUAGGACUGCUCAUCUAGAUGAAAGCACAACACAUGAAGAGUUAUGUGAUGCCCUCAAAGUUUUAUUUCCAAAAUUGGGGGCCAUGACUGGUGGGUGGCUGCUAUACAAAUCUGCAGGUGGAUGGGGUAGCCGAAAACUCUCUCUUGUGGCUCCUGAUGAGACUGGCUAUACAGGCAUGAUCUUGAAGUCUGUAAGUCGUGGGGGUAAAAAUCUUUUCAUAGCCCCAAUUCAAGAGGAACUCAGCACAAAUCCCCUACCACUAACUGAUGAAGCAUUCAGUAGCAUGCCAAAAGCCACAUGUCAGAAGUGUGGAGUUGCAGUUCCUCUUCCACUCCUGACCGAACACAUCAAGUCUUGUGAUGUCAUGUAUGUUGGCAGUUGUGAUAACCUGGCUAAUGUGGAAAGCAGUGAGCCUGAAGACAGAAAAUCUUGAAGGGGGAUCCAUACUGUCAGAUAAGGAUAAACAGCGUGUCCAGGACUUGGUCCAUGCCUGGGACCUCCCUUGCCUAACUGAGAAAAACAGGAGAUUUUUGAGAAGCUAUUGAUCCAUGAUCCAUGAUCCUUAAUAGGACGUCUCACAUGACAAAUCAAGCAGCUGAGACGAGGUGUUAAAGAAACCCCAAUGUGGACACUGGUGACCCAAAGACCUGACACAGUGGCCUUGCUUUUUCUGAAAGAGGGAGCAGGAAAUUUCAGCCCUGAGGUACUUCUUCAGCAACUCACAUGGCCUCGUGAGGAUAGUGACGAUGAUGACGAUUGUUCAGUUGACACCAAAUGCAGCAUAUCAGGCUAUCUUGAAACAGUUCAUUGCUGAUGCAACACCAACUGAACUGACCGACCUGGUCAAAUUCUGGACCGAAUGGGAGAUUCUACCACUGAGUCUCUCUGUAGAAGUGGUCGAGGGCAGAUACCCAACAGCCGCCACUUGCUUUGAGACCUUGCGCAUCCCAGGGCAUUACAAGAAUUACACAUCUCUUAAAUGUGACAUCCUGGCCUGUAUUUGCAGUUGCCAUAGAGGAUUUGGUCUUGUG
Perca fluviatilis (European perch) is the source of this 2028-nucleotide RNA transcript. RefSeq lists it as uncharacterized. The record is from RefSeq and is a predicted model, not a curated record. NCBI's taxonomy places the organism in Eukaryota, Metazoa, Chordata, Actinopteri, Perciformes, Percidae. The transcript is spliced from 8 exons.